Molecule: ribosomal RNA, 402 nt
Filed under: uncultured bacterium
Lineage: Bacteria
Description: bacterial SSU rRNA
Rfam family: Bacterial small subunit ribosomal RNA
Source: RNAcentral
AACGAACGCUGGCGGCAGGCUUAACACAUGCAAGUCGAGCGCCCCGCAAGGGGAGCGGCAGACGGGUGAGUAACGCGUGGGAACGUACCUUUUGCUACGGAAUAACUCAGGGAAACUUGUGCUAAUACCGUAUGUGCCCUUCGGGGGAAAGAUUUAUCGGCAAAGGAUCGGCCCGCGUUGGAUUAGCUAGUUGGUGAGGUAAAGGCUCACCAAGGCGACGAUCCAUAGCUGGUCUGAGAGGAUGAUCAGCCACACUGGGACUGAGACACGGCCCAGACUCCUACGGGAGGCAGCAGUGGGGAAUAUUGGACAAUGGGCGCAAGCCUGAUCCAGCCAUGCCGCGUGAGUGAUGAAGGCCCUAGGGUUGUAAAGCUCUUUCACCGGUGAAGAUAAUGACGGUAA